GUGGGGAAUCUUGCGCAAUGGGCGAAAGCCUGACGCAGCCAUGCCGCGUGGAUGAUGAAGGUCUUAGGAUUGUAAAAUCCUUUCACCGGUGAAGAUAAUGACUGUAGCCGGAGAAGAAGCCCCGGCUAACUUCGUGCCAGCAGCCGCGGUAAUACGAAGGGGGCUAGCGUUGCUCGGAUUUACUGGGCGUAAAGGGCGCGUAGGCGGACAUUUAAGUCAGGGGUGAAAUCCCGGGGCUCAACCUCGGAACUGCCUUUGAUACUGGCUGUCUUGAGUUUGGGAGAGGUGAGUGGAACUCCGAGUGUAGAGGUGAAAUUCGUAGAUAUUCGGAAGAACACCAGUGGCGAAGGCGACUCACUGGCCCAAUACUGACGCUGAGGCGCGAAAGCGUGGGGAGCAAACAGGAUUAGAUACCCUGGUAGUCC
This 425-nucleotide ribosomal RNA is filed under the name uncultured bacterium. RNAcentral's name for it is "partial 16S ribosomal RNA". It matches the Rfam family "Bacterial small subunit ribosomal RNA", at positions 354 to 796 of the family's 1533-position model. The record is from RNAcentral.